GAACGCUGGCGGCGUGCCUAACACAUGCAAGUCGAACGGAACUGCGGAGCGGAAUCUUCGGGAGGAAGCACCGUACGUUAGUGGCGGACGGGUGAGUAACGCGUGAGGAACCUGCCUUUCAGAGGGGGACAACAGUUGGAAACGACUGCUAAUACCGCAUAACGCAGCGGGAUCGCAUGAUCUUACUGCCAAAGAUUUUAUCGCUGAAAGAUGGCCUCGCGUCUGAUUAGAUAGUUGGCGGGGUAACGGCCCACCAAGUCGACGAUCAGUAGCCGGACUGAGAGGUUGAACGGCCACAUUGGGACUGAGACACGGCCCAGACUCCUACGGGAGGCAGCAGUGGGGAAUAUUGCGCAAUGGGGGCAACCCUGACGCAGCAACGCCGCGUGAAGGAAGAAGGUCUUCGGAUUGUAAACUUUUGUCUUCAGGGAAGAUUAUGACGGUACCUGAGGAGGAAGCUCCGGCUAACUACGUGCCAGCCGCCGC
This 486-nucleotide ribosomal RNA is filed under the name uncultured bacterium. Its description in RNAcentral is "bacterial SSU rRNA". It matches the Rfam family "Bacterial small subunit ribosomal RNA", at positions 31 to 518 of the family's 1533-position model. The record is from RNAcentral.